Molecule: non-coding RNA, 73 nt
Organism: Ostrea edulis (European flat oyster)
Lineage: Eukaryota; Metazoa; Mollusca; Bivalvia; Ostreida; Ostreidae
Source: the annotation of a RefSeq genome assembly
GGCUGGAUAGCUCAGUUGGUAGAGCACCUGACUAUAGAUUCCGUGGGCCUGGGUUUGAAUCCCAGUCUGGUCU